Molecule: ribosomal RNA, 466 nt
Filed under: uncultured bacterium
Lineage: Bacteria
Description: partial 16S ribosomal RNA
Rfam family: Bacterial small subunit ribosomal RNA
Source: RNAcentral
GACGAACGCUGGCGGCGUGCUUAACACAUGCAAGUCGAACGGAAAGGCCCUGCUUUUGUGGGGUGCUCGAGUGGCGAACGGGUGAGUAACACGUGAGUAACCUGCCCUUGACUUUGGGAUAACUUCAGGAAACUGGGGCUAAUACCGGAUAGGAGCUCCUGCUGCAUGGUGGGGGUUGGAAAGUUUCGGCGGUUGGGGAUGGACUCGCGGCUUAUCAGCUUGUUGGUGGGGUAGUGGCUUACCAAGGCUUUGACGGGUAGCCGGCCUGAGAGGGUGACCGGCCACAUUGGGACUGAGAGACGGCCCAGACUCCUACGGGAGGCAGCAGUGGGGAAUAUUGCACAAUGGGCGGAAGACUGAUGCAGCAACGCCGCGUGCGGGAUGACGGCCUUCGGGUUGUAAACCGCUUUCGCCUGUGACGAAGCGUGAGUGACGGUAAUGGGUAAAGAAGCACCGGCUAACUACG